AUGCGAAGCCGCGAGGCAGAGCGAACCCCCAAAAGCCGUCCCAGUUCGGAUCGCAGGCUGCAACCCGCCUGCGUGAAGUCGGAAUCGCUAGUAAUCGCGGAUCAGCAUGCCGCGGUGAAUACGUUCCCGGGCCUUGUACACACCGCCCGUCACACCAUGAGAGUCGGGAACACCCGAAGCCCGUAGCCUAACAGCAAUGAGGGCGCGGUCGAAGGUGGGUUCGAUAAUUGGGGUGAAGUCGUAACAAGGUAGC
RNAcentral lists this ribosomal RNA (253 nucleotides) under uncultured bacterium. RNAcentral describes it as "partial 16S ribosomal RNA". It matches the Rfam family "Bacterial small subunit ribosomal RNA", at positions 1247 to 1500 of the family's 1533-position model. The record is from RNAcentral.